This 459-nucleotide ribosomal RNA is filed under the name uncultured bacterium. RNAcentral describes it as "partial 16S ribosomal RNA". It matches the Rfam family "Bacterial small subunit ribosomal RNA", at positions 338 to 795 of the family's 1533-position model. The record is from RNAcentral.
CCUACGGGUGGCAGCAGUGAGGAAUAUUGGUCAAUGGGCGCAAGCCUGAACCAGCCAAGUCGCGUGAGGGAAUACGGUCCUAUGGGUUGUAAACCUCUUUUGUCGGGGAGCAAAAGCGGCCACGCGUGGCGUUCCGGGAAUACCCCGAGAAAAAGGAUCGGCUAACUCCGGUCCAGCAGCCGCGGUAAUACGGAGGAUGCGAGCGUUCUCCGGAUUUAUUGGGGUUAAGGGGUGCGCAGGCGGACGAUCAAGUCAGCGGUAAAAUUGAGAGGCUCAACCCCGUCGAGCCGUUGAAACUGGUGGUCUUGAGUGAGCGAGAAGGAGGCGGAAUGCGUGGUGUAGCGGUGAAAUGCAUAGAUAUCACGCAGAACCCCGAUUGCGAAGGCAGCAUACCGGCGCCCAACUGACGCUGAGGCACGAAAGUGUGGGGAUCGAACAGGAUUAGAUACCCUAGUAGUC